RNAcentral lists this ribosomal RNA (549 nucleotides) under uncultured archaeon. RNAcentral's name for it is "bacterial SSU rRNA". It matches the Rfam family "Archaeal small subunit ribosomal RNA", at positions 325 to 876 of the family's 1478-position model. The record is from RNAcentral.
ACGGGGUGCAGCAGGCGCGAAAACUUUGCAAUACACGAAAGUGUGACAGGGCUAUCCCGAGUGCCAUCCGCUGAGGAAGGCUUUUACCCAGUCUAGAAAGCUGGGGGAAUAAGGAGAGGGCAAGUCUGGUGUCAGCCGCCGCGGUAAUACCAGCUCUCCGAGUGGUGUGGAUGUUUAUUGGGCCUAAAGCAUCCGUAGCUGGCUGAGUUAGUCCCCUGUUAAAUCCACCGAAUUAAUCGUUGGAGUGCGGGGGAUACUGCUCGGCUAGGGGACGAGAGAGGCCGACGGUAUUUUCGGGGUAGGGGUGAAAUCCUAUAAUCCCGGGAAGACCACCAGUGGCGAAGGCUGUCGGCUAGAACGCGCCCGACGGUGAGGGAUGAAAGCUGGGGGAGCGAACCGGAUUAGAUACCCGGGUAGUCCCAGCUGUAAACGAUGCAGGCUAGGUGUUUGGGCGGCCACGUGCCGCUCUAGUGCCGCAGGGAAGCUGUUAAGCCUGCCGCCUGGGGAGUACGGCCGCAAGGCUGAAACUUAAAGGAAUUGGCGGGGGAG